Molecule: ribosomal RNA, 686 nt
Filed under: Celeribacter sp.
Lineage: Bacteria; Pseudomonadati; Pseudomonadota; Alphaproteobacteria; Rhodobacterales; Roseobacteraceae
Description: bacterial SSU rRNA
Rfam family: Bacterial small subunit ribosomal RNA
Source: RNAcentral
GCAGUCGAACGAGAUCUUCGGAUCUAGUGGCGGACGGGUUAGUAACGCGUGGGAACGUACCCUUCACUACGGAAUAGUCCCGGGAAACUGGGUUUAAUACCGUAUACGCCCUUCGGGGGAAAGAAUUUCGGUGAGGGAUCGGCCCGCGUUAGAUUAGUUAGUUGGUGGGGUAAUGGCCUACCAAGACUACGAUCUAUAGCUGGUUUGAGAGGAUGAUCAGCAACACUGGGACUGAGACACGGCCCAGACUCCUACGGGAGGCAGCAGUGGGGAAUCUUAGACAAUGGGGGCAACCCUGAUCUAGCGAUGCCGCGUGAGUGAUGAAGGCCUUAGGGUCGUAAAGCUCUUUCGCCUGUGAUGAUAAUGACAGUAGCAGGUAAAGAAACCCCGGCUAACUCCGUGCCAGCAGCCGCGGUAAUACGGAGGGGGUUAGCGUUGUUCGGAAUUACUGGGCGUAAAGCGCACGUAGGCGGAUUAGUCAGUCAGAGGUGAAAUCCCAGGGCUCAACCCUGGAACUGCCUUUGAUACUGCUAGUCUUGAGUUCGAGAGAGGUAAGUGGAAUUCCGAGUGUAGAGGUGAAAUUCGUAGAUAUUCGGAGGAACACCAGUGGCGAAGGCGGCUUACUGGCUCGAUACUGACGCUGAGGUGCGAAAGUGUGGGGAGCAAACAGGAUUAGAUACCCUGGU